AGGCGUGUAGAAGAACUGGCAUAUUCAGCAGACUUAAAAUCUGCCGUCGAAAGACAUUGGGGGUCCGACUCCCCCCACGCCUA
This 83-nucleotide transfer RNA is filed under the name Caudoviricetes sp. RNAcentral describes it as "tRNA-Leu". It matches the Rfam family "tRNA". Rfam says of the family: Transfer RNA (tRNA) molecules are approximately 80 nucleotides in length. Their secondary structure includes four short double-helical elements and three loops (D, anti-codon, and T loops). Further hydrogen bonds mediate the characteristic L-shaped molecular structure. tRNAs have two regions of fundamental functional importance: the anti-codon, which is responsible for specific mRNA codon recognition, and the 3' end, to which the tRNAs corresponding amino acid is attached (by aminoacyl-tRNA synthetases). tRNAs cope with the degeneracy of the genetic code in two manners: having more than one tRNA (with a specific anti-codon) for a particular amino acid; and 'wobble' base-pairing, i.e. permitting non-standard base-pairing at the 3rd anti-codon position. The record is from RNAcentral. Lineage: Duplodnaviria; Heunggongvirae; Uroviricota; Caudoviricetes.